AGCGAACGCUGGCGGCAGGCUUAACACAUGCAAGUCGAGCGGGCAUCCUUGUGGUGUCAGUGGCAGACGGGUGAGUAACGCGUGGGAACGUGCCCUUCGGUUCGGAAUAACUCAGGGAAACUUGAGCUAAUACCGGAUACGUGCGAGAGCAGAAAGGUUUAUCUGCCGAAGGAUCGGCCCGCGUCUGAUUAGCUAGUUGGUGAGGUUACGGCUCACCAAGGCGACGAUCAGUAGCUGGUCUGAGAGGAUGAUCAGCCACACUGGGACUGAGACACGGCCCAGACUCCUACGGGAGGCAGCAGUGGGGAAUAUUGGACAAUGGGGGCAACCCUGAUCCAGCCAUGCCGCGUGAGUGAUGACGGCCUUAGGGUUGUAAAGCUCUUUUCUCCGGGACGAUAAUGACGGUACCGGAGGAAUAAGCCCCGGCUAACUUCGUG
This 437-nucleotide ribosomal RNA is filed under the name uncultured bacterium. Its description in RNAcentral is "partial 16S ribosomal RNA". It matches the Rfam family "Bacterial small subunit ribosomal RNA", at positions 29 to 507 of the family's 1533-position model. The record is from RNAcentral.